Haliotis rubra (blacklip abalone) is the source of this 4445-nucleotide long non-coding RNA. RefSeq lists it as uncharacterized. The record is from RefSeq and is a predicted model, not a curated record. Lineage: Eukaryota; Metazoa; Mollusca; Gastropoda; Lepetellida; Haliotidae. The transcript is spliced from 2 exons.
ACACGUUGUAUCCUGUAUAUAUUUAUAUUAAUUAUAAGAAAAUACACAGUGUGUUCGACAUCGGCCGGUAACGAAACAUCGGUUAUGCCGACCCACCGUUUAACCUGCGAGUGUGGUAGUCAAGUUAUUGUUUUAUGAAACACAUUACUUCGACUAUGCUGAACAAAAUAUAACGAUCAUUUUGAAUAAACGCUAUAGGUGUUAACAUGUCUAUUUAUGUGGCCAGUAUGCUAAGUUAUAUAAUCUACUAUUUUAUGGUAGGAUACAGCAACAGGUUGCUAUGCUAAUUUUAUACACUAUACACAUAUGCUUGUAUUUGAUAUGAUCAAAUGAUUCGGUUGUUUGAGACGCAACCAUGCCGAAUGUCAGUACUGCUACACGAUAUACCAACAGUACAUCACAAUAGGGGCUGGUCAUAUGUAAUGAUGGGGUCUUCAGGAGGAGGAUACUGUAACACGUGUUCAGGAAGUGUCAUGAAAAAAGACAUUUUAUGAUGAAAUAGUGCUUUUUUUACAAUUUUCAUGGAUCAUGGAGAGUCAUGAAAAAGAUUACAAGGACAUCGUCUAAAGAUAUGAAAAUAUUACUGGAGAGUCUCUAAUUUCAGGACGUUAGUGCAUCGGACUCCGCUCCACCCCACCCUACCCCACAUCACCCCACCCUACCCCAUCCUAACCCACCCUUCCCACCUUGUACGUUAGGUAUGACCUGGAUUAUAGGUGAAGUUAUCUGACUAACGACUAUGUUGCUCCCUGACUUGAACACUGCAUUUAUUUAUCAUAAUGUUUAUCAUUAUAGGUUGACCUAUAUUCUUGGUACAGCUGGGGCCUAGGACAUAAUUACGAUCUGAAACGUAUGACCCAUCUUAGAGCUUGGGCCUAGGAUAUACGUCAGACGUAGGGUAUAGUUAGGACGAGAGACAUCAGACCUUGGAUAUAUAUGCACCCUUGGAUAUACUUAAAUCCUAGGAUAUUGGUAGGAUCAGAGUUACAGGACCAAGGAGAUAUGUAGGCCUUAGGGUGUACCAAGGUUGUAGAACAGAAUCUCGGACAUAACUAGCAACUAGGAUGUAGCCCGGGUCUUGUAUAUACUUAAGAACUAAGGCAUAGCACAGACGUAGGACAUAGCUAGGACAGCAACAUUCAGACACAAACAUAGAAUACCCGCUUGCUUAGUUUUAUAUGAAACCCUACAUCUAACCCCGUGUACUGUCAGAUCUGCCAGCUGGCCAUGUAUAGCAAUCAUCGUCAUGUACUUAAUAUAUGUUGUGUAAUCCUGUAUUCUCACUGGACUAAGACACCUUAUCCCCCGUCAACGUUGGACACGUCUGUUAUGUCAUGUUUGAUAACAUCGAACUGCUACAGUAUUUAUUCAGAAAUGUAUUAUUGAAUGUAUAUUUAGUUGUAUUACCUCAAUUUAGUGCCCAGCGAUGUGGUUAAGCAGCGCCUUUACUUUGACUGUAACGUCUAACCCCGUUGUCGUUAAAGUCAUUCAAGGUGGACAUAAAAGAAAUCAAAUGAUUAAAGAAAGAACACGAAAGGGCCAAACUUGUACGUCGAUACAACCGUAAUUUAGAUGUUACAGACGCAAAUAUUCACCUUAUUGGCUAAGUGCUUUUGUCGCCAUUUUGUAUUGUGUCCUCGUGUAAUCAACCAAUGGUACACUUUCUAUGUACAGCUCUCGAGAUUACAAACAUUCGGUGUAUACUAAAUAAAGGAGCUGAAUUUCUUAAGCUCUUUUCUUUUAGGAAGGAAUUAGUAGGUCAAAGGUUACCAGUGAUGGGUGAACAUUGUAUGCCUGAAGUAGGUACGUCUGGCGAAAGUGUUUCAGGAAUUUAAAGAUGUUGGUACUCCGUCGUUUACAAACUUUGCAUCGUCCAUGUUUUCUUGGUACAUGUAUACAUCUACCUGUCUCAGUACUUAACUCAUGUAAGCUACAGCGGAACUGUGCAAUAGCGUACCUGAAUUUCUUAGUGUCAUAAAAUGAAUUCAUUACUGAGUAAUGAAGCAUUUAAAACUAACGCAUUUAUCCAUGUCGAUACGGAAGUCAUCUGGUCUUGCCACGUCGAUCUUCGGGCAAACGGUAAAAACAUUUCAGUUAGCCUUAAAUAUUUGCAGUUACCCGAUUGUGUAAAUGUAACUGCUCUAGUAAUACAUUCUGUCCAAAUAUCAAGGGAGUACUAGCCUUACUAUGAAAUAAUUCAAAUACAGAAAAUACAACUUUUUAUAAGGUGCAAUGACUUGUUUUAUGUAUGAAAACACCGUAGAAGUAUUACAUUGGUAUAUAAAAACAUAUAACAUUAUUUUCUAAUUUGAAUGAAUUUAUUAGAUUUAUAAAACAAAAUGUUUACCGUUUUUACCAUGCAAAUGACUUCAGUCCACACAAAACUAGAUAUACUGGUCGUGAAUCGUAGUUGAAACAGACGCAACAUCGUUGGAUGUAUGCGUCAGUAUACGGAAGUAGUAGUAGGUAAUAUUGUUAACACAAACUAGAGUUUAUACAAAUCCUUAAACCACAAUUAUCUUCAUGUCAAAGUCUAGGUAUAAUCCUAUAUUGAAUAUUAAUAUGUAAGCCAAGUACACUUUAUUGCGUGAAACUAUUUGUACAAUAUCCCCAAAUUCUACAGCACAAUAAGAUAGAAUAGAUGUUUACUGUUUUUCACCCGACCUUCAACUUCAAGCAAAUAAGUGCAGCAAUGUUUGCGUAUGACAUCACUACCAGUGACCCACCUUCCCGUAGUAGCGUGUUUCCUGACAGAAGAAAGCAUGAUAUUUCAAUAAACUUUUGUUGAUUCAAGGGUCGUAUAUCUGCGCAAGUGUGUCGUGUAAGUAAUCCGAGAUAGUGUGACAACCAGUGUAUUACUAUUUGUGUUUGUGUUUUAGAUUGUACACAAGGGAAAUAUUCAGAAAUACAAAUGCAUUUCAAUUAUUCCUGCGAUAAUCGCCCUCUAAAUAGUUUCAGCAAUGUAGUCAAAGAAAUCUCUGAAGAUUGUAAACAAAUGCUACACAGCGUAAUAUGUGAGUUUUACCCCCCGUGUAUAUGGCCUUAUCUGGGCCAUAUUGGCGACAUGUCAUUUCCGGUAAUGGCGGAACGUGAAUUUGCAGACAUUACUCAUAAAGGGAAGGGGUAGUUGGUUUCAAAUCAGACAAAAAGCAUGGUGAAUAGCCAUCUAGUAGAUGUCAAAAGAAUUUCUGAUGUCGGAUGAGGCAAGGUUCAAUACUUUUGAUUUGCCUUACUGACUGCGACUUGUGAGAAAAGGACAGCUUCAUGGACAGUUGAAAACAUUGACGUUUGUUCGUGUCGUUUGAAGAAGCCUCCAGGGGAUCACACAAAACUAUGUCGAGGCAGCUAUCGAAAGGUUAUUUCAUAAAUAGCAUGGGUGUAAUUCGGAACAUAACUUUACAAUAAAAUGCCAACUGCAAUCACUAAGUUGGUUAUUUAGCGAGAUUGGUUUAAAACAGAUUCUGUGUUACUAUCGUGUGGAGAAAGACAUUCCAGUUGUAGUGUAUGUAGGCUUCGUGUUACCCGCGGUCCAGUCUGCCAGUCUUUUAGCAUGGGUCGAUGACUAUCUUUAACUGUGUCGUGUCACCCUUGCAGACAUUAACUGCAUGUCUUUCAUAAAAUCAAAUGUGUAGUUAUAUCAGUUUGUUUUGCGGUAACUACAUGUGACUUCCAGCGUUCGGUAUCUUACUGCCAGUAAAUGUCAGAACAGAUUCCACGUGUGAGAUUACGCAAACUUUCUACCGGUGUCGUUAUGCUUAAAUCAAACAGUGAAGAGUUGACAACGGAUCCGUUCCAGACCAGAAUAUGUACUGUGGUUUCCCCUUGUGGUUUGAAUUAUUAUAACUCAUUAUUACUAAAUACAUGCCAGAUAUCACUGUAUUGCACUCUGGCAAGAACUGUAAUCCAUUACCAACUUAUCAACGGUCACCAGGGAAGUGCCUACUCGAGAGUGUGAGACGAUUGUAGGUACAAGUAUUGAAAGCGAACGAGUAUAUGUCGAUAAAAUCUGUAAAAUAAUCUUUCACUUGAUAUUUUAAUCCAUAUAUCACAUCCAUCCUUAACAAUAAUGGACACGUGAAUAGACGACGUCGUUGAUCGUCCUUCAUUAAUUGAAGAGCAACUUGAACAGAAGACGAGUGGAUGAUGUAAGUUCAAUGGCUGUAGGCGGAGCUGUUCUGUAAGGAAUGUCUUCCUGGUGUUCCAUACAUCGAUACCUAUACCUUUAUUGGUCACCCUACAUGUUUACUGAAUACUCCAUCCACUGUACAUGUUUAACGAAUAAAUAACUUCACCUACAAUAUUGUAUUUCAAGAUCACUUUAUUCUGAUGAUUGCAAGAAAUUAACAAGGAUUUCUACAACAUGUCAUACUGGUUUUAACAAUUAUGCAACGAUUUAAUACAAUGUAUAUGAACAAUAUUUUUGGCCAUGAAACAUUAUGAAACAC